GGGGAUAUAGCUCAGUGGUGCAGAGCUUGCUUGGCAAGCAUGAGGUCCUGAAUUCAAUUCUCAGUAUUCCCC
Molecule: transfer RNA, 72 nt
Filed under: Cavia porcellus (domestic guinea pig)
Lineage: Eukaryota; Metazoa; Chordata; Mammalia; Rodentia; Caviidae
Rfam family: tRNA
About the family: Transfer RNA (tRNA) molecules are approximately 80 nucleotides in length. Their secondary structure includes four short double-helical elements and three loops (D, anti-codon, and T loops).
Source: Rfam by way of RNAcentral